UGAAUGGCCCUCCUGGAAGUCGGCCACCUUGAGGAAGAGAAUUCUUCCUGCACCAGGCGGGAUUCCCUCCAGCAGUCUGUUACACAAGAGGGCCGCAUGGAGACUACUGGCAGCACAGGUUCACUUGUCCUGGCUUGCAGGACAUGUAGCCCCAUAGGGCCAGGUUCAUCUCACUGAGCGCUGGGGUCUGAGGGCGAAGCCCUGCUGUGGACCUUCUGAUGAACAUAAAUGCAUCCUGACCACAACCAGCCAAGAACCCUCCCUGGAUCCUGCCAGCUCUGUGGUCCCUGAUGAAGAUGUAGCUCUCAGCCCUGAUGAUGCAGCUCCCGCGCCCUGCCUGCCUGCCUGCCUGCCGCUCAACUCCCUAUCAUAUUGUUCAUACAUAGACUUACCCUCUGAAACUACAGCCAAUCCUCCAAUUAAAUGUUUUCUUCUUU
This 437-nucleotide long non-coding RNA is filed under the name Mus caroli (Ryukyu mouse). RNAcentral describes it as "lncRNA (MGP_CAROLIEiJ_G0013441.1)". Lineage: Eukaryota; Metazoa; Chordata; Mammalia; Rodentia; Muridae. The record is from RNAcentral.